UACGUAGGGGGCAAGCGUUGUCCGGAUUUAUUGGGCGUAAAGGGCGUGUAGGCGGUUUGGUAGGUCCGUUGUGAAAACUCGAGGCUCAACCUCGAGACGCCGAUGGAAACCAUCAGACUAGAGUCCGGAAGAGGAGAGUGGAAUUCCUGGUGUAGCGGUGAAAUGCGCAGAUAUCAGGAAGAACACCCGUGGCUAAGGCGGCUCUCUAGUACGGUACUGACGCUGAGACGCGAAAGCGUGGGGAGCGAACAGG
This 253-nucleotide ribosomal RNA is filed under the name uncultured bacterium. RNAcentral describes it as "partial 16S ribosomal RNA". It matches the Rfam family "Bacterial small subunit ribosomal RNA", at positions 524 to 776 of the family's 1533-position model. The record is from RNAcentral.